UUCCCUCUAGACUUAGCUGCUGUAGAAGUCCUAUCUACAAAUGGAUAAUACCUCUAUAUUAGAUUAGUGUAUACGAGUUCUUGAAAACGAAAAGGAACAAUACUUACCUUUCUUGAUAAAAAAAGGUAAGUAUUGUUCCUUUUCGUUUAAAAUGGUUUUUUUCUAGAAAAAACCUAAUUUUAAACGUUGUAUUGUAAAUUGAAGUAGUAUUUUUUUUAUAGUAUAUUUUAUUACUAUCUGUUUUCUUAAUAGUAUAAGGGCGGAUGUAGCC
RNAcentral lists this unclassified non-coding RNA (271 nucleotides) under Dendrocnide moroides. RNAcentral describes it as "partial miscellaneous RNA". Lineage: Eukaryota; Viridiplantae; Streptophyta; Magnoliopsida; Rosales; Urticaceae. The record is from RNAcentral.